RNAcentral lists this ribosomal RNA (331 nucleotides) under uncultured bacterium. RNAcentral's name for it is "bacterial SSU rRNA". It matches the Rfam family "Bacterial small subunit ribosomal RNA", at positions 37 to 334 of the family's 1533-position model. The record is from RNAcentral.
GACGUAACGCGUGGCGGCGUGCUUAACACAUGCAAGUCGAACGGAGUGGCUCGAUAGGACAGAGGUUUCGGCCAAUGGAUUGAGUUACUUAGUGGCGGACUGGUGAGUAACGCGUGAGGAACCUGCCUUUCAGGGGGGGACAACAGCUGGAAACGGCUGCUAAUACCGCAUGACGCAUGACCGGGGCAUCCCGGACAUGCCAAAGAUUUUAUCGCUGAAAGAUGGCCUCGCGUCUGAUUAGAUAGUUGGUGAGGUAACGGCUCACCAAGUCGACGAUCGGUAGCCGGACUGAGAGGUUGAACGGCCACAUUGGGACUGAGACACGGCCCAG